Molecule: small nucleolar RNA, 73 nt
Organism: Bison bison bison
Lineage: Eukaryota; Metazoa; Chordata; Mammalia; Artiodactyla; Bovidae
Source: Ensembl
UGGAUCAAUGAUGAUGACUGGUGGUUUGAAUCAUAGAUGAUAAAUAAUGUGUGCCUGAAACUCUGAGGUCUGG